Mangifera indica (mango) is the source of this 813-nucleotide long non-coding RNA. RefSeq lists it as uncharacterized. The transcript has 2 exons. The record is from RefSeq and is a predicted model, not a curated record. Lineage: Eukaryota; Viridiplantae; Streptophyta; Magnoliopsida; Sapindales; Anacardiaceae.
UUUUACAAACCAGAUAGAUAUUAUGUAUCAUUCACUGGAAACAUCCAUCAUCCAAAAUACAUUAAAUAAAGGCGAAAAUUGCACCAAAACAAAACCCCACUUACAAGACCCUACCAUUACUCGACUUUCCAAUGCCCCAUAAAAAAAAAUACAGCAUAAAGACACUGGGAGAGAGAGACCUAGAGACUCAAUUUCAAUGGCUAUCCACAAGACAGUUUCCACUCUAAAACUCUGCCAUGUUUGGUGGCGCUACCGCCGCCGUGGAUGGCCGAGCAUAAGUUGACUCCUACAUACAUAUUCCAAGAUUUGGCAUUAUUGCACUCCUGCACCUAUUCAGCUUCGUUAUCACCUCUAUGCAUCAGCAUGAUUUCCCUGGAGAUCUGCAAUUGCAAGUCAAGGAAAUAAAUAUAGUCUGGACAUUGUAUAUGAAGUUUUUAAUGGCUUAAUUUUAUGUAACAUAUAUUGCUUGAAUGGAAUGUGGAACUUUCACUAAAUCUUUCCAGGCUCCAGAAACAGACAUUAUAGAAUCAGGAAAUGACUUGACCUGGAAGUUUCUUGAAGCAAAGUAUUCCAUGUUUGUCAUAUUCUCUAAGUCAGAUGAUCGAUUUAUACAUCCAUGUUACUGCAGGCCCCCACCAAAGUUUUCUAUGGCCAAGGGGAUGGUGCCAGAAAUUAAGCAUGUAUCAAGAAUCUUGUCAUUAGCAGUCUUCUUAUUGAGAAAGUAAUCUCAAAUAUCUAUAUAGUGUUGAGGUGUCUGGACUUGAACAAGAAUGUACAAUAAAAGCUAUUCAAUAUACAUUAGAUGUGCCUAAA